GACGAACGCUGGCGGCGUGCUUAACACAUGCAAGUCGAGCGGUAAGGCCCUUUCGGGGGUACACGAGCGGUGAACGGGUGAGUAACACGUGGGUGACCUGCCUCUAGCUCUGGGAUAAGCCCGGGAAACUGGGUCUAAUACUGGAUAUGACUCCACGGUGCAUGUCGUGGGGUGGAAAGCCUUGUGCGGCUGAGGAUGGGCCCGCGGCCUAUCAGCUUGUUGGUGGGGUGAUGGCCUACCAAGGCGACGACGGGUAGCCGGCCUGAGAGGGCGACCGGCCACACUGGGACUGAGACACGGCCCAGACUCCUACGGGAGGCAGCAGUGGGGAAUCUUGCGCAAUGGGCGAAAGCCUGACGCAGCGACGCCGCGUGAGGGAUGACGGCCU
RNAcentral lists this ribosomal RNA (388 nucleotides) under uncultured bacterium. RNAcentral describes it as "bacterial SSU rRNA". It matches the Rfam family "Bacterial small subunit ribosomal RNA", at positions 28 to 417 of the family's 1533-position model. The record is from RNAcentral.